This is a non-coding RNA of Phasianus colchicus (ring-necked pheasant), 4882 nucleotides long. The record is from RefSeq and is a predicted model, not a curated record. Lineage: Eukaryota; Metazoa; Chordata; Aves; Galliformes; Phasianidae.
UUGUGAAGGGCUGUGGCUGCCCAGGGAGCAUAGGCAAACUGUUUGCAGCUGUGCUCCCCACCAGACCAGAGGGGGUAGACUCAGGGUAGAGCUCCUAUAAGGGCAGCCACUGAAGGGAGAGCAUCCCUUGGACUGAGGAUGCUUCUAGAGAGGGAAUGCUGUGUGUCCAGAAAGCCUCUUCACCAGUUGGGACUGCCUCAAGGAUCUGACAGGAGGAAUUGAGUAUGCUGCCAAGAUAUUAAAUGAAAUUCCCCAGAAAGACAUUCAGUGCACUAAAAGAGCCUCAAAGGCAGAAAGGGAAGGAAAUGGGCAAGGCUUCUGCUCUUCAUAACAAAAGGAGAGAAGGACUGUAAAAUCCAAAUCGUGGCAGUGAGAUAUGAAGAGAAUACAAGGUUGGAGCUCAGUAAUGGAGAUUUCAUCUGGUUUGCUCUGCUAAUGAAGAAACCUGCUUGCAGAGUAAGAAGUCUGUCUGCUGAGUGCAUAACAUGUGAUUUCUACCUAGAUGAAAAUGUUGGGGAUUUCUGGCUUACGUUGGAAUAGAGGCUCAUUAAUUACCCACUGCAGUCAGUCGUUACUAUCUGAUUUUUUUUUCCUCUGCGAAAGAGAAGAUUAUGUUCUUGUGGCCUCUUGGGGUCACACGAUUGUAAGGCACAAAUGUCUUGAUGUUGAAAGGCUUGGCUGAGCAUAGCCAUACAGCUCUGCUUUGUUAGGCAGGAGCCUUAGUUUACAAUCUUGGCUGUAGUACUUCCUCCCAAGUCUGAAAAGAGCUAUAAAGUUAACAGUUCUCUGCAAAAUUUAUGCACCUUGUGAAAAUGUUGGAAAACAUUCUUUGGACCUCUCCCCAACUAAAACUACUUUAGCUUGGGAGAAACCAGUUACACAGCCAAUUUCUCCUGCUGCUUUAGAUUGGUUCAUGCUUUGUAUGACCCUCGAUCUUGAAUGCUUUCAUUAUGUGUUACUUAUUCCUCUGUAAUGUUCUUGCUAGCAGUAGACAAGUGAGGACUGAAUUUGGUUAUCUUGUCAAUGACAUAAAUUGGAUUCAAAUUACAGUAAGAUGUGACACUUGCAGUAAACAUGUUGGAAGAAGAAUAGCACAUGACUUUGUACUGUCUGACAACUUGAAGCAUGGGACAGCUUCUUUGUGUUUCUCUCCCCUCUCCCAGCAGCUGUUGCCCCAUGGCAAAGGUUGGAAAUGAGUGGACCCUUCCAACUCAAGCCAUUCUGUGAUUCCAGGAUUAUGCAAAACUGUUCCUUCUGGCAUCAGUACUUAGGUUAUCCUAUCAUAAUGUGUCAAGGGACCUGCAGUUCUAGCAGCACUCCCUGGUGUUUGCUGAAUUAGUAGAUACUGGUUAAAAGAACAGCAACAAAAAUCCCUCAAACACUGAAGGAGCUGAUGUGAGGGUGUUGUCUAACAAUAACGUGUCUCCAUUACAACUUCAUGGAUCCCUUCUGUUCUAAAUGCCAGUACCCAUGCCCAGGUGCUGAGAAAGCAUUAGAUACAGAGGAAGCAUGGGCUCUCUAAGGCUUGAGCAGAGCUGUGAAGGCAUGGCACCAAUCUAUUGUGCUCUGUCAUGUGUAUGACUGGAAUUGUGUGAUCUAUCAGAUAAAACAGCUGCUCAAGGGAUGUGCUGACUGGGAUCUCCACCUCCUUUAAGAGGCAGAAGUGCAAAGUACUGAGCUGUUCAAACCAUCCUGUAUCUAGGAGGCAACUAGUGACUCUGGUAUGUGACUUCUGGGGGAACAUUAGACUUGGAAAGACUUUUUUCUCCCUGCUCCUUUCUUGAGUAAGAAGUUUCCCUUGCCCAUAUUGCUUUAGGCUUAUAUCUCAAAAUGACACAUUGGUACCAAAGAUUGUAGAGCAGAGCACAUCGCUCAUGAUGCAUUACUCCCUAUCCACAUAAUUCCUCUGUUUUUAUGAUCAAAAUAAAACACUUGAAAUAUGUUCUCAUCUGCUGGAUGGGAGAGAGAACAAAAUGCUGGAGGGGAACCUUUAAGUUGUAUCUCUCUGGACUUAUUUAUAAGAUUGAACUACUUUUUUUCUUUUUACCCCACAACCCUUUCCCUCUUUCUCCUCCUCCUUUCCUUCAAAUACUCUGACUGGUGCUGACAGAAAUGAUUAUAGCUUAUGAGUGAUAAUAUAAUUCAGUUUCCCUCAAGGAGAGAUGCUAUCAGAGAAGGUUUCUUUUAAAUAUACUGGUUGAGAAGAGCCAUCUUUCUUCCUAGAAGAACAGUUAUUAAUCUCUUACUAGUACAUUUUCAUAUCGUUUUGGACAUUUAUUUCCAUGCUGUGAUAUUAUAAAACCAGGCAUUUGUGUCAGUUUUGAUGCAGUGCAACAUGCUGGAACAUGAAAAGGCGUAAUUACCACUGUGGUCAUUUGAAUUGCUAACCAGAUCCUGACAUUUUCAAAUCGGACCAAUUUCUUAGUGAUCCAGAAGUGAGCCUGGAUGCUAUAUGAGCUGCAUUUCAAUUAGGCAACUCAACAUUUAAAAAGGAAGUGCAGAGCACACGUUCCCAAAACACUGCUAAAAUGAGGAAAUGCUUUCCUAGUUUUCUGUUGCUCCACUAGAUUAAAUGUUUAGCUUGUGAGUUUCCUUGAUAACAUCAUAGGUAUUGUUAAUUCUGAUGCAUUUAAAUAUUCAAUAAGGUCUCCUUAAGGAAAUGUUUUCAACUUUUUUUAUGGAUAUAAUCAUAGCAACCUGCUCUAAGACCACAUUUAUUUGAUUUGUACAUUCACUGAGGUGAACUCUUGGCAUUCCUGAACUUUCGUGUUAUGGAAUUUGUUCUCUGGGCCCCAUUUGUGGUGCAGGCUUCAUAACAAGCACAACUUGUGCUUCCAACAUGACUAGAGAGCUGAGUUUUAGCUAGUGGAUGCUCCUGUCUGUGUUUCUGCUUGCAGAUGGGCUGUGUUUCUUCGAGAGCUUAUCUUGUACUGGUUGGGAUGUAAUGGUGCAGAGCAGCAGUGAGAUAUGGUCUGAUGUCGAUGAGUGAUGCUUUGUGAUGUGAAAAGCUUCUUUGCAAGAGUAAUUCAGAGGAUCCUGUGUGCUUUUAGCCUCCUGGACCUGUGGAAUGUAGCUAAUAAGUAAUGGUAUGUUUCAGACCAGAGACCAGGAAAGGAAGUGCAGCAAGGAGGGAAAAUGAAUGGGAAGAACACUUCUGUUUUGUGGAGUUUCAAGAAAAUGUCUCCCUUAUUUGGUGGGAAAGCAGCAUCAGUAUUAGACUACAUAAGGCAAGAAAGCAUAAAACACAGUGUUCUAAAUUAAUAUAAAAUACUUGUAUAGGAUUACUCAAAUUUUCUUUCAUUUACUUGGGAAGUUUUACAUCUAAAUACCUGAGGAGGCUGCACACAAACCACCUCUCACCCCUUUUUUCUUUGACAAAUGCCAAAGUGUUUUCCUACAUAAAAAAGGUGAAUUCUGCUCUAGUAGGGGAGGAUAUGUGGUUCUUGUCCUCCUGUGGACUAAAUCCUCAUUUUUCUUAAGCUGUGGGUCUGCUUAUUGAAUGAAGGAGAGAGAGAUGACAGAAGCCAGCUGCAGGUUCCUUUUAAAGAUCAGACUUGAAGCUUUUAUAGAUAGGGAUUUCACCUUUCCUGCCUGAAAAUAUCAGAUUUGCAUAUCUGUCAUAGUAUUUUUGUGUAUUAAACUAUGGAAGUAUAGCUGUAGACAAAUGAAGCUAAAAAUUGACUUGAAUGAAUGGUUGUUUUUGUUAUAACUCUUUCAUGUUUCGAAUGAUUGAGAGGAGUGCUCUAAUUCAUUUUUGUGGAAGUAUUUCAAACAGUUUUUUUUUAUUUUCCUGGCAUGCAGCUCAGUGUCUGCAAUAUUACUCAUCGAACCUACCGUGCCUGAAUUGUCCUCCUAUCUUUAAAGUGAGUCUCUGGUUCUGUUUGAGUCCCACGCGAGUCUUGGAAUGACUAAACCUGUGCUGAUGGUGUUAUGAUGUGUGGUGCUUAAUGCAGCCUUUUAGGAAGUAAAGUUGAUCUUUAGAACAUGGAUAAUCUGGGCAUAUUGUGCUUUGCAGUCAAGAUGGCAGUGGAUAAUUUCCAUGCAACAGAUGUGUUUGAUUAUGGCAACCUGGGGCAUGAAAUUACUCCUAAUUCUAAAACUAGUGGAUUCAAGACAGUGCUAGGCUGUGCAGUUAUUUCCACUGCAGAGAUGUCUAGACACCUCACCCAGGGAGCCAAGCCCCAAGGUAAUAAGCACUGUAGUAUAUGCAACAAAAGCUCUCUUCCAGACUGAAACAGGUUUAAAAAUACACUUUAAAGCACACUGGCAGUUCCAAAAAGGAGAAGAAAGUCUGUUCAGAUUGUGAAAUUCCUGGUUUAAAAAAAUAAAAUAAAACCACUGCAUGGCAAGAAGUGAACAUGAUACUGUGCACAGUCAGAGAUUCACUCAUUACCUCUUAGAAUUCUCUUCUUUUUGUGAGUCUGUCUGUUCAGCCCACUGUGUAUCACAGCUGUCACCAUAUGCUGGUGCAUGAGUGAUACUAGGCUUAUGAUGGAAAGUAUGUAUGAUGCAAGGGUUGAGAGACUGGGGUUUUAUAAUGGGCUGCCUCUUGCCAGCUUGCUUGACCUCUCACCAGUAUGCAGGGAAUGGUGUGAUGUGUCUGUUUUAAAGCAAAACUGAUGCAAAUGGCUAACGAACAAUAUUUAUGGCUGAAUGUCUGAAGGUUCAAGUCCAAAGUGUGAAGCAAUUAAUAAACUCAUUGGUACUUGUCUUUGUGGCUUCUUUUGUGAAGUGCUUAUGGCAAGUCAUCUCAGCCACUUCUGCAUGCACUUCCAUAGCUGUGGACUGCUUGCCUGUGCACUGCUAUUCUCAAACGAGCAUUGUGUUGCUUGUCCUGAAGAAAAAAUGCCAAAUUUCCUUAAGGCAUGAGUGCAGCUGGGAU